RNAcentral lists this ribosomal RNA (207 nucleotides) under uncultured bacterium. RNAcentral describes it as "partial 16S ribosomal RNA". It matches the Rfam family "Bacterial small subunit ribosomal RNA", at positions 568 to 774 of the family's 1533-position model. The record is from RNAcentral.
AGCGUAGACGGAUGGACAAGUCUGAUGUGAAAGGCUGGGGCUCAACCCCGGGACUGUAUUGGAAACUGCCCGUCUUGAGUGCCGGAGAGGUAAGCGGAAUUCCUAGUGUAGCGGUGAAAUGCGUAGAUAUUAGGAGGAACACCAGUGGCGAAGGCGGCUUACUGGACGGUAACUGACGUUGAGGCUCGAAAGCGUGGGGAGCAAACA